UUCCAUGCUGAUGGCCUGCUGCACCCCAGCAGAUUUGGAGCCAACAUCUUCAAGAUGCUAUUAACCAUAGAUGUCCAUUCCAAGGUUACUAGAGAUUACGCCAGCUCCAGUUUGGAUCCAGCCUCAUUUGUGAAGACUUCAGAUGACGCCAACACUCACAAAGACUUCAGAUGUUGGCAACUGUAAAUGGCCAUUCAAAACUGACAAAUAUUAUCCUUAUAUUGCCUUUAAUGGCAAGUUUGACAAUUUUCAACCCACUUUGUAUUAUUGCAAUGUUUCUCAUGUGCACCUAUAUGUCCCCUUUUAUUUGUAAGCAACACUCCGCAGGAUGACGCAAAAUGAAAUGACGAGUUUUGACAAAAUGACAAAAAAAAAAAUAAUAAUAAUUUUUU
Long non-coding RNA from Sinocyclocheilus anshuiensis, 392 nucleotides. RefSeq lists it as uncharacterized. Lineage: Eukaryota; Metazoa; Chordata; Actinopteri; Cypriniformes; Cyprinidae. The record is from RefSeq and is a predicted model, not a curated record. The transcript has 2 exons.